Molecule: long non-coding RNA, 1283 nt
Organism: Oncorhynchus tshawytscha (Chinook salmon)
Lineage: Eukaryota; Metazoa; Chordata; Actinopteri; Salmoniformes; Salmonidae
Source: Ensembl
GUUCAGUAAAUCAACUGGGCCACGUGAGGUUCAGUAGAUCAACUGGCCACGUACAGUUCAGUAAAUCAACUGGGCCACAUGAGGUUCAGUAGAUCAACUGGGCCAUGUGCAGUUCAGUAAAUCAACUGGGCCACGUACAGUUCAGUAAAUCAACUGGGCCACGUGAGGUUCAGUAGAUCAACUGGGCCAUGUGCAGUUCAGUAAAUCAACUGGGCCACGUACAGUUCAGUAAAUCAACUGGGCCACGUGCAGUUCAGUAAAUCAACUGGUCCACAUGCAGUUCAGUAAAUCAACUGAGCCAUGUGAGGUUCAGUAGAUCAACUGGGCCACGUACAGUUCAGUAAAUCAACUGGGCCACGUGCAGUUCAGUAAAUCAACUGGGCCACAUGCAGUUCAGUAAAUCAACUGGUCCACAUGCAGUUCAGUAAAUCAACUGGGCCACGUACAGUUCAGUAAAUCAACUGGGCCACGUGAGGUUCAGUAGAUCAACUGGGCCACGUGAGUUUCCGUAGAUCAACUGGGCCACAUGCAGUUCAGUAAAUCAACUGGGCCACAUGCAGUUCAGUAAAUCAACUGGUCCACAUGCAGUUCAGUCGAUCAACUGGGCCACGUGAGGUUCAGUAGAUCAACUGGACCACGUGAGGGUUCCGCAGAUCAACUGGGCCACGUGAGGUUCCGUAGAUCAACUGGAUCACGUGAGGUUCCGUAGAUCAACUGGACCACGUGCAGUUCAGUAAAUCAACUGGGCCACGUGAGGUUCCGUAGAUCAACUGGACCACUUGAGGUUCCGUAGAUCAACUGGACCACGUGAGGGUUCCGUAGAUCAACUGGACCACGUGAGGGUUCCGUAGAUCAACUGGACCACGUGCAGUUCAGUAAAUCAACUGUUCUAGAGCAGACAUGUAGAACAAGGAACCAUGUCAGAGAAGCAUAGAAGUUUGUUCUACGUAGCAUACUUCUAUCUGAACGUUCGACAACGUUGCGUCCCGCUGAACACACACCACCUAUGCAAACAAGGUGAAAGACCCAAGGAGGGUCCAUCUACAUGAAGGAAUGUUUGCCGUGGAAAAGCACCCCCCCCCCAAAAAAAAACCCAGGAAGUAUCCCCCUUUUGACAAUGUUACCUGACUUGUUACGCCUGAAAUCUUGCCCUUUUUCUUAUAAAAUAUUUUAGAGUAUUGCAUAUCACUUCAUCAUAGAAUAUAAAACCUUCCAAAGAGUUGAUGUACGUUUCCCAUCACUUCUCACCAAAUCAAAUUAAAAGUUUGCUGUGGAAAAACCCA